AUUGGGCGUAAAGCGAGCGCAGGCGGUUUCUUAAGUCUGAUGUGAAAGCCCCCGGCUCAMCCGGGGAGGGUCAUUGGAAACUGGGAGACUUGAGUGCAGAAGAGGAGAGUGGAAUUCCAUGUGUAGCGGUGAAAUGCGUAGAUAUAUGGAGGAACACCAGUGGCGAAGGCGGCUCUCUGGUCUGUAACUGACGCUGAGGCUCGAAAGCGUGGGGAGCGAACAGGAUUAGAUACCCUGGUAGUCCACGCCGUAAACGAUGAGUGCUAAGUGUUGGAGGGUUUCCGCCCUUCAGUGCUGCAGCAAACGCAUUAAGCACUCCGCCUGGGGAGUACGACCGCAAGGUUGAAACUCAAAGGAAUUGACGGGGGCCCGCACAAGCGGUGGAGCAUGUGGUUUAAUUCGAAGCAACGCGAAGAACCUUACCAGGUCUUGACAUCCUUUGACCACUCUAGAGAUAGAGCUUCCCCUUCGGGGGCAAARUGACMGGUGGUGCAUGGUUGUCSUCMGCUCGUGKCSUGAGAUGUUGGGUUAAGUCCCGCAACSAGCGCAACCCUUAUUGKUAGUUGCCAUCAUUUAGUUGGGCACUCUAGCGAGACUGSCGGUGACAAACCGGARGAAGGUGGGGAWGAMGUCAAAUCAUCAUGCCCCUUAUGACCUGGGCUACACACGUGCUACAAUGGGAAGUACAACGAGUUGCGAAGUCGCGAGGSUAAGCUAAUCUCUUAAAGCUUCUCUCAGUUCGGAUUGUAGGCUGCAACUCGCCUACAUGAAGCCGGAAUCGCUAGUAAUCGCGGAUCAGCACGCCGCGGUGAAUACGUUCCCGGGCCUUGUACACACCGCCCGUCACACCACGAGAGKUUGUAACACCCG
RNAcentral lists this ribosomal RNA (870 nucleotides) under Enterococcus sp. AO26. RNAcentral's name for it is "bacterial SSU rRNA". It matches the Rfam family "Bacterial small subunit ribosomal RNA", at positions 553 to 1423 of the family's 1533-position model. The record is from RNAcentral. Lineage: Bacteria; Bacillati; Bacillota; Bacilli; Lactobacillales; Enterococcaceae.